Molecule: ribosomal RNA, 482 nt
Filed under: uncultured bacterium
Lineage: Bacteria
Description: partial 16S ribosomal RNA
Rfam family: Bacterial small subunit ribosomal RNA
Source: RNAcentral
GACGAACGCUGGCGGCGUGCUUAACACAUGCAAGUCGAACGCUGAAGCUCAGCUUGCUGGGUGGAUGAGUGGCGAACGGGUGAGUAACACGUGAGUAACCUGCCCUCUUCUUUGGGAUAACGCCCGGAAACGGGUGCUAAUACUGGAUAUUCACUGAUUCUCGCAUGGGGGUUGGUGGAAAGGUUUUUUCUGGUGGGGGAUGGGCUCGCGGCCUAUCAGCUUGUUGGUGGGGUGAUGGCCUACCAAGGCUUUGACGGGUAGCCGGCCUGAGAGGGUGACCGGUCACAUUGGGACUGAGAUACGGCCCAGACUCCUACGGGAGGCAGCAGUGGGGAAUAUUGCACAAUGGGCGAAAGCCUGAUGCAGCGACGCCGCGUGAGGGAUGGAGGCCUUCGGGGUGUAAACCUCUUUCGCUCAUGGUCAAGCCGCAGCGUUGGGUUGUGGUGAGGGUAGUGGGUAAAGAAGCGCCGGCUAACUACGUG